UACAGGCUCAGAAAAAAGUUUUAUUUGUUUAUAUUAAAUCAAAGGAAAGCACUAUAACAUACUUCACAAACCAAACGCCUUGUGUAGUACAGAGGUUUUCAAUCUGGGUUCUGGAAACUCACAGCACUGCGUAUUUUUGUAUAUCUAGAUUUCUUCUGAUGAUGCGAAUCAGAGGUGUUAAAUAAGAAAGAUACACAAAAUUUGCGCUGAUGUGGGUGCCUAGGUUUAGGAUUAAAAACCUCUGAUUUAGUAAAUCUGUAAUACCAGAUAAAGAACGAUUUUAAUAUGGCAUAUUACAAAAAAAAAAAAAAGGAAGUA
Long non-coding RNA from Sinocyclocheilus grahami, 318 nucleotides. RefSeq lists it as uncharacterized. The record is from RefSeq and is a predicted model, not a curated record. The transcript has 3 exons. Lineage: Eukaryota; Metazoa; Chordata; Actinopteri; Cypriniformes; Cyprinidae.